GAUGAACGCUGGCGGCGUGCCUAAUACAUGCAAGUCGAGCGAACAGACGAGGAGCUUGCUCCUCUGACGUUAGCGGCGGACGGGUGAGUAACACGUGGAUCAUCUCCCUAUAUGUCUGGGAUCACUUCGGGACUCCGGCGCUAGUACCGGAUAAUAUAUUGCACCGCAUGGUUCGAUAGUGAGAUUCGGCUUUGCUGUCACUACUAGCUGGAUCCGCGCCGCAUUAGCUAGUUGGUAAGGUAACGGCUUACCAAGGCAACGAUGCGUAGCCGACCGGACAGAGUGGUCGGCGACACGAGAACUGGGACACGGUCCAGACGCCUACGGGAGGCAGCAGUAGGGUAUCUGCCGCAAUGGGCGAGAGCAUGACGGAGCGAGGCCGCGUGAGUGAUGAAGGUGUUGGGAUCGUAAAACUCGGUUAUUAGGGAAGAACAAAUGUGUAAGUAACUAUGCACGUCUUGACGGUACCGAAUCAGAAAGCCACGGCUAACUACGUG
This 497-nucleotide ribosomal RNA is filed under the name uncultured bacterium. Its description in RNAcentral is "partial 16S ribosomal RNA". It matches the Rfam family "Bacterial small subunit ribosomal RNA", at positions 28 to 507 of the family's 1533-position model. The record is from RNAcentral.